CAUAACCUUUAGCUAAACCAGUAUUAAAGGCAACGCCUGCCCAGUGAAUAAUUAAACGGCCGCGGUACCCUAACCGUGCAAAGGUAGCGUAAUCAUUUGUCUAUUAAUUGUAGACCCGUAUGAAAGGCAUAAUGAGGGUUUAACUGUCUCUUUUAGUAUAUCAAUUAAACUGAUCUCCUAGUCCAAAAGCUAGGAUACCAACAUAAGACCAGAAGACCCUGUGAAACUUUAACUAAAAUAUUAAAGCCUAUAAUAACUACUUUAGGUUGGGGCGACCUUGGAAAAUAAAAGAACUUCCACACACAUAUUACAUAAUAAUAUAUAACCGGCCAACAAGCCUAUAACGACCCAGCACAGCUGAUAAUUGAACCAAGCUACUCCAGGGAUAACAGCGCUAUCUUCUUCAAGAGCCCAUAUCAAAAAGAAGGUUUACGACCUCGAUGUUGGAUCAGGACAUCCUAAUGGUGCAACCGCUAUUAAGGGUUCGUUUGUUCAACGAUUAAUAGUCCUACGUGAU
RNAcentral lists this ribosomal RNA (517 nucleotides) under Hydrophis cyanocinctus (Asian annulated sea snake). RNAcentral describes it as "partial 16S ribosomal RNA". It matches the Rfam family "Bacterial large subunit ribosomal RNA", at positions 1814 to 2604 of the family's 2925-position model. Lineage: Eukaryota; Metazoa; Chordata; Lepidosauria; Squamata; Elapidae. The record is from RNAcentral.